AGCUUGUUGACAUUCUAUUUUAAUAAUUAUAAUUGUGUUGUCGCUACAUGCCACGUAAAUGUGAGAAACAGAAAGAAAUGUGUAGCAUUUCCUGUCUUUCCCAGAAAUCAAAAGCUGUUACACAGAUGGCUAUUGACGGUUCUCACACAAGCCGAGUGAAACCAUGGCAUCAUGUUUGUUCAGUGCAUUUCUCGCCAGUCUUUCCAGUCAUCUGUCAUAUGACAUCAAAUAACUUUGACCAUAAUAAAUCCUGUAAUAAAUCAUGCCUAAUUUCUAUUCAUUGAGAUCAGUAAUUGCAAGCACAACAGUUCACCGAGUUCAUGUAUUUAACACUAUUAUUAUUAUUAUUAUUAUUAUUAUUAUUAUUAUUAUUAUUAUUAUUAUUAUUAUUAUUAUUAUUUAUCUAUUUUCAUACCUAAAGCUGGUUACGAUAUUACAAUGAAAUCCGACAUCGAAUUAAUGAUAUUAAGUUAAAUAAGUAAAUAAAUAAAAACUUGUCAAAAUGAGGCAUGACCAAGGUCGGCUUUGACAUCGUUGUUUACUGUAUAUUCAUUUACGUUCAGCUAGCAUGGGACGACACUUGUUAUGAAUUGAAAUAGUUAUAUCUCGCCACGGGUGUCACUUUUUUUUUUUUUCCGAAUUAAUGAAUAUAUAUCAAAACAACUACAACAGAAUAACGAUCGUCUGAUGAUGUCCUCUAAAAAAAAAAAAAAAAAAAAAAAAAAAAAAAACGAAACAUUUUGAUAGUUUCUGUUCAUGUGGAAUUUCGUUAUCAGUUAUUAUCAGUAAGGAUGACUGGACUUGUCUAUCAACAUUUUUUUUUUUUUUUAGUAACUACAAGUACAGGUACAUAUAUUUUGUCUUUAAUAUUUAAGAUCAUUAAUAAAUAUUACCUAUGAAAAUUAAUUAGUAUGAUAAGCGUAAACAUUAUGUGUAAUUUUGAUACAGGAAUGAACAAAGAAUAAAAUUAUAUAAUAGGGGCGAGACUGCUAGUAUUCAUUGAUAACUCAUUAUGAUCUCAUAUAUUUAAUAUCGGGAAAAAUGUAAAUGAAGUUGAAGAUAGUAAAAACCUCUACGUCUUCUUGCAGGAUUGGUAAUAUUAAUAGUUUACUGGUACACAUGCAGUUAAUAUAUCCGAUAUACCGUAAAAUAAAGAAGAGUUACCUUCAUUAUCAAUGAGGCCUGAUUUUCUUUAUCAUUAUUAUUAUUAUUAUUAUUAUUAUUAUUAUUAUUAUUAUUAUUAUUAUUAUUAUUAUUAUUAUUAUUGUUGUUGUUGUUGUUAACACAAUUUUAUCUCGCUCCACAUGGACAACUUCGCCUCCAACAAGACUAGAACAUUUGUCAUCUGUGUUCUACAUCGCCCUGCUGGCCUGGCAGAAGCACCACUUACUACCAACUCUUAACCAAAUAUCAGCGAACCAGCAAACAUUUAGAGAUAGAGGGAGACAUGUGCGCAUGUCUUGCAGAGAUGGCUGUAAGAGAGUUGACGGGGAAGGUCGACGAAGGUGCUGGAGAAACAAGGAGGUCCAGUGUCAGUAUUUGAACGACAGUGUCAAUCAUCUCUCCACUGGAUCUUUUCCUUUUAUUUAAUUAUAUGCUUUUAUUUUACUUCCCCAUUUUACUCUCCACGCCUUUUCUUCACUGGUAAAUAUAAGGAAUGACGCAAUAUUUUCGUACUAGCUAUGUGAAUCUCUCUCUCUCUCUCUCUCUCUCUGUGUGUGUGUGUGUGUGUUACGAGUGGAUAACUUAUGAAAGACAUACCAUACAUAGUUCAUAUUUUUAUGUAACAUCUUUAUAAUUAUGCUCUUUAGUACUUGAUUCUAACGACCAGUUAACUUACCUGCUGCCAGCACUUUCGGGACACUAUAGGCUGUGGCACCACUGCUCUGCAUGGUCCCAUCAAAUCCCCCAACAAGAACAACACCAUGGAGCGUGGGCGAUUGGUUUCUGCUUUCUGAAUUGGAUGGGGCUGUUGGUUGCAGACAGACCCCUGGAGCCAGACAUCUUCAGCAGUUGUUGCAUCUGCCAGACUUUCUUCAAGUGGAUACAAUCUGGCAAGUCGUAGUGCCUGAGGAAUGUGUCCACUACCCUUACUAACCCAUCCUGUCCCUUACGUAGGCUGGUGAUUUUACGAAGUUUCCACCUUGACCACAGCCUGUCAUCAUGGAUGAGGACAAUGUCCCCAGCUUGUGGCCAUAUUGUGCCUUCUUUGGCAACUAUGCAUCUAUGGGACUCCCUGAAAGAUAAAAGAUAUUCUGAAACCCAUCUUUUUCACAGAUCAUUUAACAAUUUGAUUGAUGCUUCCCUUUAUAUUUUGUGUAGAUCAGAUAAUGAAUAUUGAUUAGAGAAGGAUUUCAGUUCCCUGCCUCUUAAUAACUAUAAAGGGAUUAUGGUAUUAAGUUCAUUGACAUUACUGCUUACAUAAGUUAAGGAUCUAUCAUUUAUAAUGAAUCCUAAGAUGAUAGUGUGCAGUUCUUCAAAUGUGACUAGGGCUCUGCUAUGUACUUUUCUUAAACCAGCUUUUAAUGUUCUGAUUAACUUUUCCUGUAUGGCACCAAACUGGGGGGGUGUAGAAAGAAUGAACUUCCACUCAGUUAAUUGAUGUUAAAUGGUUAUUUACAUAAGAGCUUUGCAUAGGUAAUUUCUUUGAUAUAACUGGCCACAUUAACAUAGGUUGUUGCAUUUUCACUAAAUAUAAUUUGUGGAAAACCUUGUCUACAUUGAAUAUUCUGAAAGCACUUAAGAAGUUAUUACUUGUUAAAUCAGGUACCAAUUCUAGAUGGAUGGCUUUGGUGGUUUUCUUACUCUGUAACCAUUUUAGAGCUAUUUGGCACAGGUGAGGAGAACAAUGUGUGCCUUGGUGACUUGAUUAGCCUUUCCUUACACCUUUAGGGUACCUGUAAAAUCCACUCCUGUGACAUUGAAGGAUUCAUUUAUAUUAGUUCUGAAUUGUGGGAGAGGUGGUGCAUCAACAGAGGAGUAGGGUUCAUCUUCAUAUUUUUGCCAUAUUUUACAUUUUCUCAUCACUAGUUUUACUACUUGCCUCAUUUUAGGGAUCCAUCAUUUUUGUCUCAUAUGCUGCAAUAAAGUUGGUGCUAUAAUAAAGAUUUAAUUAAUGACUUCUUAUUUGCAGCUUGAUUAUGUGGUGAUGGCCAGGUAGCAAAAUAGGAUGUUAGGUUGACUCAGGCAAGUUAGCCACUUGUUGUUGAUUAUAUCAUUAUCCAGGUAUAACCUUAACUGGAGCAUUAUAUUUGAGUGUGAUGAUCUGUCAGUCUUUUUCAAGAACAACGUGUAUUCUUUAGAAAAUUCUUCUCUGUAUUAGUUUAAUUAAAAUUCUUGCUCUGC
Scylla paramamosain (green mud crab) is the source of this 3345-nucleotide long non-coding RNA. RefSeq lists it as uncharacterized. The record is from RefSeq and is a predicted model, not a curated record. The transcript is spliced from 2 exons. NCBI's taxonomy places the organism in Eukaryota, Metazoa, Arthropoda, Malacostraca, Decapoda, Portunidae.